RNAcentral lists this ribosomal RNA (445 nucleotides) under uncultured bacterium. RNAcentral's name for it is "SSU rRNA". It matches the Rfam family "Bacterial small subunit ribosomal RNA", at positions 26 to 518 of the family's 1533-position model. The record is from RNAcentral.
AGAGCGAACGCUGGCGGCAGGCCUAAUACAUGCAAGUCGAACGGAUCCUUCGGGAUUAGUGGCGGACGGGUGAGUAACACGUGGGAACGUACCCUUUGGUUCGGAACAACUCAGGGAAACUUGAGCUAAUACCGAAUGUGCCCUUCGGGGAAAAGAUUUAUCGCCAUUGGAGCGGCCCGCGUCUGAUUAGCUAGUUGGUAGGGUAAAGGCCUACCAAGGCUACGAUCAGUAGCUGGUCUGAGAGGAUGAUCAGCCACACUGGGACUGAGACACGGCCCAGACUCCUACGGGAGGCAGCAGUAGGGAAUCUUGCGCAAUGGGCGAAAGCCUGACGCAGCCAUGCCGCGUGAAUGAUGAAGGUCUUAGGAUUGUAAAAUUCUUUCAGUCGGGGACGAUAAUGACGGUACCCGCAGAAGAGCCCCGGCUAACUCGCGCCAGCAGCCGC